GUGAAUCAUCGAAUCUUUGAACGCAAAUUGCACUCUUUUCUGAGAGGAUGCCUGUUUGAGGUUCAGUAUUAAUAAAAUCUGUAUUUCUUUUUUGUGACGUUCCGGAUUGUGGGCUACCUUUAACGUUCGGGUUUAAGAGGCUUAAAAUUGAUCUUUUUUGCGCACUGUUAGACGUACAUAAAUUUAUUUUUAUCGUCUAUUCUGGUGCCAAUUAUCUAUUAGGUUCGAUCAUGUUUAUCUUAUCUCGUGCCCAUAAGUCUCAUCUUUUGACCUCUAAUCAGA
This 282-nucleotide unclassified non-coding RNA is filed under the name Glomeraceae sp. Its description in RNAcentral is "partial contains 5.8S ribosomal RNA and internal transcribed spacer 2". Lineage: Eukaryota; Fungi; Glomeromycota; Glomeromycetes; Glomerales; Glomeraceae. The record is from RNAcentral.